GAGUCUGUAGUUGAGGUACAAUACAGGAUUGCAAGUCCUGAGGCAAGGAUUCU
This 53-nucleotide transfer RNA is filed under the name Centrorhynchus milvus. Its description in RNAcentral is "tRNA-Cys". Lineage: Eukaryota; Metazoa; Acanthocephala; Palaeacanthocephala; Polymorphida; Centrorhynchidae. The record is from RNAcentral.